Molecule: ribosomal RNA, 696 nt
Filed under: uncultured beta proteobacterium
Lineage: Bacteria; Pseudomonadati; Pseudomonadota; Betaproteobacteria
Description: bacterial SSU rRNA
Rfam family: Bacterial small subunit ribosomal RNA
Source: RNAcentral
GAGUUUGAUCAUGGCUCAGAUUGAACGCUGGCGGCAUGCCUUACACAUGCAAGUCGAACGGCAACGGGCCCUUCGGGGUGCCGGCAAGUGGCGAACGGGUGAGUAACACAUCGGAACGUACCCUGUGGUGGGGGAUAACCCGUCGAAAGACGGGCUAAUACCGCAUAAGCUCUGCGGAGGAAAGCGGGGGACCGUCAAGGCCUCGCGCCACAGGAGCGGCCGAUGUCCGAUUAGCUAGUUGGUAGGGUAAAGGCCUACCAAGGCGACGAUCGGUAGCGGGUCUGAGAGGACGGCCCGCCACACUGGGACUGAGACACGGCCCASACUCCUACGGGAGGCAGCAGUGGGGAAUCUUGGACAGUGGGGGAAACCCUGAUCCAGCAAUGCCGCGUGGGUGAAGAAGGCCUUCGGGUUGUAAAGCCCUUUUAGCAGGGAAGAAAUCGGCUAGGUGAAUAAUCUAGCUGGAUGACGGUACCUGCAGAAAAAGCACCGGCUAACUACGUGCCAGCAGCCGCGGUAAUACGUAGGGUGCGAGCGUUAAUCGGAUUUACUGGGCGUAAAGCGUGCGCAGGCGGUCCGCUAAGACAGGUGUGAAAUCCCUGGGCUUAACCUAGGAAUUGCGCUUGUGACUGGUGGGCUAGAGUACGGUAGAGGGGGGUGGAAUUCCUGGUGUAGCAGUGUAAUGCGUAGAGAUCA